GAUUACCACUCACCUUGAAUAAACCUGAUUCCAUCUGAUCUCAAAAGCUAAGCAGGGUGGGAAGUGGUUAGUACUUAGACAGGAGAUGACCUAGGAAUAUCAAAUGUUGCCACAU
RNAcentral lists this ribosomal RNA (115 nucleotides) under Notamacropus eugenii (tammar wallaby). Lineage: Eukaryota; Metazoa; Chordata; Mammalia; Diprotodontia; Macropodidae. The record is from RNAcentral.